GGCCCCGAGGCACGCCGGGAGUUGUAGUUCUGAGGGGGAGGUGGGAGCAGGAAAUGAUGGCUGGGUCGCGGGUUCGAGGCCCGCUGGGGCCGC
Molecule: non-coding RNA, 93 nt
Organism: Turdus rufiventris (rufous-bellied thrush)
Lineage: Eukaryota; Metazoa; Chordata; Aves; Passeriformes; Turdidae
Source: the annotation of a GenBank genome assembly